GACGAACGCUGGCGGCGUGCUUAACACAUGCAAGUCGAACGGAAAGGCCCUGCUUUUGUGGGGUGCUCGAGUGGCGAACGGGUGAGUAACACGUGAGUAACCUGCCCUUGACUUUGGGAUAACUUCAGGAAACUGGGGCUAAUACCGGAUAGGAGCUCCUGCUGCAUGGUGGGGGUUGGAAAGUUUCGGCGGUUGGGGAUGGACUCGCGGCUUAUCAGCUUGUUGGUGGGGUAGUGGCUUACCAAGGCUUUGACGGGUACGCGGCCUGAGAGGGUGACCGGCCACAUGGGGACUGAGAUACGGCCCAGACUCCUACGGGAGGCAGCAGUGGGGAAUAUUGCACAAUGGGCGGAAGCCUGAUGCAGCAACGCCGCGUGCGGGAUGACGGCCUUCGGGUUGUAAACCGCUUUCGCCUGCGACGAAGCGUGAGUGACGGUAAUGGGUAAAGAAGCACCGGCUAACUACGUG
This 468-nucleotide ribosomal RNA is filed under the name uncultured bacterium. RNAcentral describes it as "partial 16S ribosomal RNA". It matches the Rfam family "Bacterial small subunit ribosomal RNA", at positions 28 to 507 of the family's 1533-position model. The record is from RNAcentral.